Molecule: long non-coding RNA, 2501 nt
Organism: Hyaena hyaena (striped hyena)
Lineage: Eukaryota; Metazoa; Chordata; Mammalia; Carnivora; Hyaenidae
Exons: 2
Source: RefSeq, a predicted model, not a curated record
UGUUACAGCAAAAACUUACAAAGAAUGCAUUACUUGUGAGAGUUUCAUCUUUAUGUGCACUAACUCAGUGCAACAACCUGACGAAGUUAGUAUUGUUGUUAUCAUCAUUUCAGUGGUAAAGAAACAGGCACAGAGAAUGAAGGAACAUGCCUAAGAUUACACAGCUAGAAGUGGCUGAGCUGGGAUUUGAGCCCAGAGAGGCUGGCUUUGGAGUUUGGGAUCUUAGUGACUUCACUGUACUGCCUCUUAAUGAUUUAAAAUGCAAAUACCCUAUGGGCAAGGCACUUGCUGUGUGCUGGACACCGUGCUAGAUGUGGGGUAUACAGUGGCAAACAAUUAUGCAUGCUCCUUGCCCUUAAAGUAGCCCAACUUCUGAAGGGGAAACUAGCUAGCUAUAAACUGGCAACUUUAAUAUAGUUCUGCCAGUGUCCUGGAUGCCAAGGGGUGCAAGGUUAGUAGUGGGCUCUAAAUUCUGCCCAAGUUAGAAUCUCUGUUCCUCCACUUCCCAGCUGUGUGAUCUUGAGCAUGUUAACAAACGUCUCUGUGUCUCUAUAAUGUCAGCAUCUAUAACUCAGAGCAUCAGUUUUAGAAGGAUUAAAUGAUAUAAUUUGGAGACAUGGGUUACUCUAGUGUGACAUACUGCUUAGGUCUGAUUUCUGAUUCCAUCAAUUCCUAGCUCUGUGACCUUGAGCACAUUACUUCUCUGUGCCCCAGUUCCCUCACCUAUAGAGUGGGAACAAUAGUAUCUACCUCACAGGGUCUACUAUAGAAUGAGUUAAUACAAAACAUGUAAUCUGUGAGCACUCAUUGUAAAAUAACUGUCCACCCAGGUAUCACCAAGUGUUACCACUAAAUACACCCUGCUUCCUCAUGCUUCCAUCUCUUUGCACAUGCUGUUCCCUAUACUUGGAAUGCCCAUCCCCACCUUCUCUCUCAAAUGGACAAAGGCUCAUUCUUCAAGGUCCAGCUCAAUGUCCCCCUGCGCUGCGUUUCAUAGCCCUGCAGGGGAAGUUGAUUACCUCACCUUUGUACAUACACCUAGUUUCCACCACCCUCCCUUGUGGCUAUCAAAGAGAUGGGGCAAAAUUCUGAGGAGUCUGCAACACUUUAUUUUUUUUUUACUUCCACAUUGAAUUGUGUUGCUUAGGAUAACAGAGGACUGUUGGUGGACUCUAAAGUUUAGUAAUGAGCUUAAAAAUUAGAUGUCAUAUGAAGGAGUUGUCAGAAGCUGGCCCCAAAUAUUGUGCCUACCUAUUACUGAAUAUGCAGUUUAAUCCACAUUUAAUAUUACCAUUAGUCUACCAUGUAAUGUUAUAUUGGCUAAUACUCUAAAGCAUGUUGUUUUCUAACACAACUCAUGUGUAUUCUGGUUGGAUGUAUUUUGUUUGUUCCUGAGACCCUGAAGAAAGAAUUAAAACAGGUAUUUAGUAGGAACUGAGAGUCUUAAAAUGAAUCCUACAUUCUUUCAUAUAUUCAUGCUUUUGCAUCCAUUCAUUCACAAGGAUUUUUUAUUUAUUAUUUCUAUAACACCAGGUGCUGUAAAGCACCUUUUCUGACCAUUAUAUAUCAGGCUGACAGGCUUUAGCUACACUCAGAUGUACAAAGGAAAUGUUCAUUCUUUAUUUUCUAGAAUUUCCUAGGCAUCCUCACCCCACAGAUCAUGGAAAAACUUAAGACUUGUCAAUUAAUAAUAUCUCUGCCUAUUGUGGUUUCAAUAGUCUCCUUUCAGUUUAUGGGUUCAGUCUAUCCCAGGUCUAACUCUCCAGCAGAGCUGGGCUAAGUGGUGUCUUUGGGAUGACUAGAUCCCUUUGGAUAAAUAUUCAGUCUUCCAAAUCUCCACCCUUCCCCCAUUCUCAUUCCCAAGAUGUGCCUGGGUAUAUUGGGGCUUACUAUUUCUUUGGGACAAGAAGUAGCAGGGGGAGAGAGGGUGGGGGUCUCCUGACCUCAUAAUGGUCUUUGGCUAGUCUGCACUGGGGAGGGAGGAGGGUUAUGGGUCUGAAUUUGGGCCAUGUUUGGUUGUCAACUGUUGAGGAAUGGUCAACCUGAUUCUGUCCUGGGCAUUUGUCUGCUGAGUGGCACUGGAGCAUGACUCCUGGCCGAUCUGUCCUCUGAGCACAGGCAAGGACUCCAGAGAGAACAGCCAGGUUCCCUUGCUGAGCAAGUCUCACCUUCUCUCAUCGGUGCCGCCGACCCCACUGAGGUGUGCUUGGGAAAGAGGGAGAACAUGUAUGGGGCUUGGAAAAAAACAGUGGCGGGAAGGCAACUUGAUAACUGAUGAUUUUCUGAGUGCUUCAGCCUGAAGGAAGCCAACAGCUGCAACAUAUUGGUUACAUGGAAAUCAUUAAGUCAUUCUGGGAAAGAAUGACAAAUGUGUGUGCCUGUGUAUAUAUGGUAGACAUGUGUUUACAUAUGGAGCAAGGCACCCACAGAGGGGAUUGCUUCAAUGCUCUCUCCAGGCCAAGAGAAGAAAAAAGAAAUUCAAUUAAAGCUCCAUUGCAGGA